GCCAGCCGCCGCGGUAAUACCGGCGGCUCGAGUGGUGACCACUUUUAUUGGGCUUAAAGCGUUCGUAGCUGGGUUGUUAAGUCUCUUGGGAAAUCUGGCGGCUUAACCGUCAGGCGUCUAAGGGAUACUGGCAAUCUUGGAACCGGGAGAGGUGAGGGGUACUUCGGGGGUAGGAGUGAA
Molecule: ribosomal RNA, 180 nt
Filed under: uncultured archaeon
Lineage: Archaea
Description: partial 16S ribosomal RNA
Rfam family: Archaeal small subunit ribosomal RNA
Source: RNAcentral